RNAcentral lists this ribosomal RNA (269 nucleotides) under uncultured bacterium. Its description in RNAcentral is "partial 16S ribosomal RNA". It matches the Rfam family "Bacterial small subunit ribosomal RNA", at positions 85 to 354 of the family's 1533-position model. The record is from RNAcentral.
UGUAAUCUUAGUGGCGGACGGGUGAGUAACGCGUGGGUAACCUGCCUUACACUGGGGGAUAACACUUAGAAAUAGGUGCUAAUACCGCAUAAGCGCACGAAGCCGCAUGGAUUUGUGUGAAAAACUCCGGUGGUGUAAGAUGGACCCGCGUCUGAUUAGCUUGUUGGCGGGGUAACGGCCCACCAAGGCGACGAUCAGUAGCCGGCCUGGGAGGGUGGACGGCCACAUUGGGACUGAGACACGGCCCAAACUCCUACGGGAGGCAGCAG